This 73-nucleotide transfer RNA is filed under the name Deltaproteobacteria bacterium. RNAcentral describes it as "tRNA-Lys". It matches the Rfam family "tRNA". From Rfam's summary of the family: Transfer RNA (tRNA) molecules are approximately 80 nucleotides in length. Lineage: Bacteria; Pseudomonadati; Myxococcota; Myxococcia. The record is from RNAcentral. RNAcentral also lists the same sequence under 1 other name.
GGGUCGCUAGCUCAGUUGGUAGAGCACCGGCCUUUUAAGCCGAGGGUCAUAGGUUCGAGUCCUAUGCGACCCA